GACAAGCAGUGGCACGACGUGAUGGGUGAUGUGGCUCAUGAGUCCCGUCUGGCUGCCUGAGAGGUCGGGUCAGAGUGGCUCAUACUGGGUCGGUACUGAAGAGGUCCGUCUGGAGACGCCUCGGGAGUGUGUGAGCCUGCGCUGUCGGAGGAGAGAGUAUGGGUGUGUGUGUUCUGCUGAGCGUGUUGCUGUGUGCGCUUCUCACGGCGUCUCCAGUCAGAGGGGACAGCACCUGCACAGCCCCUUCCAGCCCUGUGUGCUACAAGGCCAGCAGGCGUCCAGACGAGGAUUUCAUAUGUGAAUGGACGCCAGCGGGGGACAUGGGAGGCUUCUCACAUACUCUCCACCAGGGGAAUGAAACAGAGGGAGUUUAUAAGCGGAUAACUGAUUGUGGAAAACAGUCCUGCACACUGAUAUAUGAGGAUGUGUCUAUAGACAUCCCCCUGCUAAUAUGGGUGUCUGCUCAUAGAGACAACAUCAGCUGCUCCUCAGCCCACACCUCCAUACAACUGGACCAGUCAGUUAAAUACCCUGCACCUGUGAUAGAGAUAUCAAGAUCCUCUAAAGAGUUGCGCCUAGAGAUGAAGAAGGCUAGAGACAACCAGGAUGCGGACUAUGAGAUCAGAUAUAAGGAGAUCAGGGGGAACAGCACCAGCCCAUGGGCAUACGAAAACACGACUGAAGGCAAAUCAGACGUCUUUCAGAUGUCCGUACGGCCGGACGCCGCGUAUGAGCUGCACGUGCGCCGCCGAGCGAGGGAUGUGCGGCACGCGCUGUGGAGCGACGAGACCCCCGUCAUCGUCCCCGUCCCACUUACUGACCUGGCAGUGACAUGGAACACCACGCUGAACGAGGAGAAGAACGCUCGCACACUCACCCUAUCUUUGGAGCGCCCCCGCUAUGAGGUGAGUUUGGGCGGUCUGCACUAUAACGUGUCCUACUCCGCUUGGCCCUGUGACCCUGAGGACCACACCCAACUGACCAGCAGCACAGAGGUCAAGGUCAGCAUCACGCUGUCUGAGGCCCGGAUACGCGUCUACGCCAGAAACAACGUGGGCUCGUCUCCCAGCUACAGCUUCACCGUGCCGGCUGUCCACCGCAGAGGUGUGUACUGCCCUGGACAGAAUGCCUCAUACCUGGUGCCGAAGGAGAAGAAGCAUCGCAAGCGGCUCUGCUGGGAGUGGUACCGGCUGGACGACGGAGAGACCCGGCCCGACCCAGCGCAUGUGCACAGCGCCACUGGGAGAACCGAGACCAACAUCACUCAGAUUGCAGGGAUGGAGGACUUUGUGCGCUACUACUACUUUAUCCACAUGAGGAAGAAGAAGAAUCUGCACACCCUCUACAGCUGCCCUGUGUACAAGACAGAGUCAACUCCACAGGUGAGCCCCCUGAACCUGACGGUGCCGGUGGUGACGCCCACAUCUCUGCAGGUGUGCUGGCUGCCCAUCCCUGUAGCCCAGCAGCGGGGGUUCCUCACACACUACCACCUCUGCCUGUCAGGAGACUGUGAAAAUGUCUCUGAAUCUCAGACCUGCAACACAUUCCAAAAACUCAAGCCUGGUUCUGAGUACAGCAUCUCUGUUGCCGCGGCGACCCGUAUGGGCUCAGGCCCUGCUGUCAUCGAGAAGAUCUGGACGAGUGAGGAUGGCACUGUAACGGGUUCCCAGAGGGAUGUGAUCAUCAUCAUUGUCUCUCUGCUCGCCAUCACUCUGCUGUUCCUCUGCCCUUUCCUCUUCAUCAGACUCAGAAGCAAGCUGCCAGCGGUCCCAAAGCCUGUCAUUGCGGUGUCCAUAAAGUACUCCCCCAGUUCGCAGGAAGUGCACCCACCCAAGGAGGAAGUGCAUGUGGUCACCCUGGAGCACAUGCAGAAACCCACCGAGACCCUGUGCAUCACCCCUGAGGAGGGGCUCACGCUGCUGCAGGAGGAGGGGGGGGUGGGGGGGGCCGAGAGUGAGAACACACACCAGGAGGAGGAGGAGGAGGAGGAUCAGGACCACGUGAUGAAGGCACAUGAGUGUGAUGGCGCUCAGAACCCUAACUACAAGCGGCAGACCCUGAGAAUGCCUGAAGACUCGGAGAUGACGGAGAAAGCUCUGAAUGAGUGUGAUGUCACAUCACCCGUGUACAAGAACGCACAGGUGUUCGACAUGAAGCCAGAACUUUGUGAGAACGGAGAAUCCUUUGUGUAGACCACCUCAAUAGACUACCUCAGUGUUCGAGCACUGCAGAAUGUAAACGUCACGUGAGAGCGAAGGAACUCUCUCAACCCUCUGAAUGGUAUCACCUGUAGCAUCUGAGAGUCUUGGAAGAACAAAGGAACUCUCUAGACCUCAGCAGAACAUCUGCCUGUUAUUGCCUGUAGUACCAGUGAGUCUUAGAAGAACUGAAGAACUAGCUGUAGACCCCAGCAGAAGAACUAAAGAACUAAAGAACUAGCUGUAGACCUCAGCAGAAGAACUAGAGAACUAUCUGUAGACCUCAGCAGAAGAACUAAAGAAUUAAAGAACUAGAUGUAGACCUCAGCAGACGAACUAAAGAACUAGAGAACUAUCUGUAGACCUCAGCAGAAGAACUAAAGAACUAGCUGUAGACCUCAGCAGAAGAACUAGAGAACUAAAGAACUAGCUGUAGACCUCAGCAGAAGAACUAGAGAACUAUCUGUAGACCUCAGCAGAAAAACUAGAGAACUAUCUGUAGACCCCAGCAGAAGAACUGAAGAACUAGCUGUAGACCCGAACUAGAGAACUAUCUCUAGACCUCAGCAGAAGAACUAGAGAACUAUCUGUAGACCUCAGCAGAAGAUCUAAAGAACUAUCUGCAGACCUCAGCAGAAGAACUAGAGAACUAGAGAACUAUCUGUAGACCUCAGCAGAAGAACUAGAGAAAUAUCUGCAGACCUCAGCAGAAGAUCUAAAGAACUAUCUGCAGACCUCAGCAGAAGAACUAGAGAACUAGAGAACUAUCUGUAGACCUCAGCAGAAGAGAUCCAGAGAGGCAGCAGGUCAGGUAACACACACAGGUGUGCAUUAGGUGAGAGGUCUGCACACAGGUGUGCAUUAGGUGAGAGGUCUGCACAGCACACACAGGUGUGCAUUAGGUGAGAGGUCUGCACAGCACACACAGGUGUGCAUUAGGUGAGAGGUCUGCACACAGGUGUGCAUUAGGUGAUUAGGUGAGAGGUCAGCAAGGUGAUCCGCUACCUCAGUGAGUCAUCAUCGCUCCGCAUCGGCCGGAAGCGAUCGCGCUCUUUUGAGAGACUAAUGGUUAAAAGGUGUCAUCACAGACGAUCGCUCUCUCCUGUGAGACUAAUGGUUAAAAGGUGUCAUCACAGACGAUCGCUCUCUCCUGUGAGACUAAUGGUUAAAAGGUGUCAUCACAGACGAUCGCUCUCUCCUGUGAGGCUAAUGGUUAAAAGGUGUCAUCACAGACGAUCGCUCUCUCCUGUGAGGUUAAUGGUUAAAAGGUGUCAUCACACAGACUUGUGGUGACAUAUGUGGUUGAGUUCAUGAAGUUCAUGAAAUCCCUGGUUAUGGUGCGCCAUUAGCCUUUAGAAUUAAAGGACAAAAUAAAACAGGUUCAUUGUUUGGUUUACUUAAACGUUAUUGUCUUACAUAUAUCCUUAUAUAGAUCUUAAAAUAAAAAGAUCUUAAAUGUUAUUGCCUUUAUUUUAAAUAAAAUAUUUUGAGAUUUUGUGUCA
Sardina pilchardus (European sardine) is the source of this 3700-nucleotide RNA transcript. RefSeq lists it as uncharacterized. The record is from RefSeq and is a predicted model, not a curated record. The transcript has 16 exons. Lineage: Eukaryota; Metazoa; Chordata; Actinopteri; Clupeiformes; Clupeidae.